UGCGUAGGCGGCUUUGCAAGUUAGAUGUGAAAUCUAUGGGCUCAACCCAUAAACUGCAUUUGAAACUGUAGGGCUUGAGUGAAGUAGAGGCAGGCGGAAUUCCCCGUGUAGCGGUGAAAUGCGUAGAGAUGGGGAGGAACACCAGUGGCGAAGGCGGCCUGCUGGGCUUUAACUGACGCUGAGGCACGAAAGCGUGGUAGCAAACA
This 206-nucleotide ribosomal RNA is filed under the name uncultured bacterium. RNAcentral's name for it is "partial 16S ribosomal RNA". It matches the Rfam family "Bacterial small subunit ribosomal RNA", at positions 568 to 774 of the family's 1533-position model. The record is from RNAcentral.